UCUAAUAUGGCAGAUAAGUGCAACGGAUUUAAGCUCCGUAUAUAAAGGUAAACCUUUUAUUAGAA
Molecule: transfer RNA, 65 nt
Filed under: Potamanthellus edmundsi
Lineage: Eukaryota; Metazoa; Arthropoda; Insecta; Ephemeroptera; Neoephemeridae
Description: tRNA-Leu
Rfam family: tRNA
About the family: Transfer RNA (tRNA) molecules are approximately 80 nucleotides in length.
Source: RNAcentral